Molecule: ribosomal RNA, 253 nt
Filed under: uncultured bacterium
Lineage: Bacteria
Description: partial 16S ribosomal RNA
Rfam family: Bacterial small subunit ribosomal RNA
Source: RNAcentral
UACGUAGGGUGCGAGCGUUGUCCGGAAUUACUGGGCGUAAAGCGUGCGUAGGUGGUUUGUUAAGUCUGUUGUGAAAGCCCCCGGGCUCAACCUGGGAAUGGCAAUGGAUACUGGCAGGCUAGAGUGCGGUAGAGGGUAGUGGAAUUCCCGGUGUAGCGGUGAAAUGCGUAGAGAUCGGGAGGAACACCAGUGGCGAAGGCGGCUACCUGGACCAGCACUGACACUGAGCACGAAAGCGUGGGGAGCAAACAGG